GACGUAGGAGGCGAGCGUUGUCCGGAUUCAUUGGGCGUAAAGAGCGCGCAGGCGGCUUGGUAAGUCGGAUGUGAAAUCCCGAGGCUCAACCUCGGGUCUGCAUCCGAUACUGCUCGGCUAGAGGUAGGUAGGGGAGAUCGGAAUUCCUGGUGUAGCGGUGAAAUGCGCAGAUAUCAGGAGGAACACCGAUGGCGAAGGCAGGUCUCUGGGCCACUACUGACGCUGAGAAGCGAAAGCAUGGGGAGCGAACAGG
This 253-nucleotide ribosomal RNA is filed under the name uncultured bacterium. Its description in RNAcentral is "partial 16S ribosomal RNA". It matches the Rfam family "Bacterial small subunit ribosomal RNA", at positions 524 to 776 of the family's 1533-position model. The record is from RNAcentral.